GUACUGAUGAUGAGUCCCAAACUAGGAUGAAACAGCUGUCCAGUAC
Trichobilharzia regenti is the source of this 46-nucleotide non-coding RNA. NCBI's taxonomy places the organism in Eukaryota, Metazoa, Platyhelminthes, Trematoda, Strigeidida, Schistosomatidae. The record is from Rfam.